Long non-coding RNA from Oncorhynchus gorbuscha (pink salmon), 827 nucleotides. RefSeq lists it as uncharacterized. The record is from RefSeq and is a predicted model, not a curated record. The transcript has 2 exons. NCBI's taxonomy places the organism in Eukaryota, Metazoa, Chordata, Actinopteri, Salmoniformes, Salmonidae.
UCUCUGUGGAUGUGUGUGGGGGGAAUUCUGUGUGUGUUGUUAAACUCCCUGCCCCCGGGGGGUGGAUGAGGACGUGGAGUCCUCCUCCCUAGUGAUCAAACAUGAGCUUUAUGAUCGACUGAGACCAUAAAGAACAAACCACACAGACACAUACAGGCCUAGUGUAUGUGAGACUGACUGCAACCCAGAGGAAUGAGAGACACUGUGUGUGUGUGUGUGUGUGUGUGUGUGUGUGUGUGUGUGUGUGUGUGUGUGUGUGUGUGUGUGUGUGUGUGUGUGUGUGUGUGUGUGUGUGUGAUCAUGCUGUAGGUGUCCAGAGGGUACAUUCACUAACUUGGGACUUGGCAGGAAGUGAGCUCAGCUAGAGUUCUCCAUCAACCUGGGGUUUUACACACACACAUGGUUCCAUAUAAGGUCCACGUCCACCUGGGUUUUAUCCAUCUAAUGUGACACAUUUUCUCACUGGGUUGGCACAUAUGAUGCAUGACACACACUUCAAUUGGAAGGGUUUUAGUAUGUUUUCAAUGAAAUGAGUUCCCACACACCUGGGGGUUUCCACCCUGUGUUUGACACACUUCCUCCCUGUGACUAGAGGUGGAGGAGUUAUUGAUCAGGCUUGUCACACUGACACACACUUCCUCCCUGUGACUAGAGGUGGAGGAGUUAUUGAUGAGGCUUGUCACACCGACACACACUUCUAUGGGGGGCAGGUUUCUGGUAUGUAUUGGGCUCACGUGUUCCAAUUACAUUACUUACACGUUUCAUUUCCGAAGCUACUGGUCCCAUUGAGGAACCUCGGUUUAAUGAAUAAAGAUAUACAUCUGGAA